AUGAAUUCCACUCCAAGACACUGGUUGUGUCCCAAAUGACAUCCUAUUUCCAUUUGAGAAAUAUUGAUGGAUGAAGUGUUUGGUGAUACAAAGCACAACCUUCCCUUUCAAAAGCCUGGCUCUGCCCUUCUUAAAACAAAACACCAAUCACAGUCCUGUCCUUCUUAAGUCAACCAUGUAACUGAAUGGAUGGUUUGAGGAUUAUGAUUGUCCCUGGGCUUUUUUGAUCAGGUUUUAACUUUAGAGGACAGAGUCAGGGAGAGGUCAGGGAGAGGUCAGAGAGAGGUCAGAGAGAGGUCAGAGAGAGAUCAGAGGAAGGCAGAGAGAGGUCAGGGAGAGGUCAGAGAGAGGUCAGGGAGAGGUCAGGGAGAGGUCAGAGGAAGGCAGAGGAGGUCAGAGAGAGGUCAGAGGAAGGCAGAGAGAGGUCAGAGGAAGGCAGAGAGAGGUCAGAGGAAGGCAGAGAGGUCACAGGAAGGCAGAGAGAGGUCAGAAAGAGGUCAGAGGAAGGCAGAGAGAGGUCAGAGGAAGGCAGAGAGAGGUCAGAGAGAGGUCAGAGGAAGGCAGAGAGAGGUCAGAGGAGAGGUCAGAGGAGAGACGUGAGGGAGGCAGAGAGAGGUCAGAGAGAGGUCAGAGAGAGGUCAGAGGAAGGCAGAGAGAGGUCAGAGAGAGGUCAGAGAGAGGUCAGAGGAAGGCAGAGAGAGGUCAGAGAGAGGUCAGAGAGAGGUCAGAGGAAGGCAGAGAGAGGUCAGAGAGAGGUCAGAGGAAGGCAGAGAGAGGUCAGAGAGAGGUCAGAGGAAGGCAG
This 802-nucleotide long non-coding RNA is filed under the name Salmo salar (Atlantic salmon). RNAcentral describes it as "lncRNA (ENSSSAG00000097802.1)". Lineage: Eukaryota; Metazoa; Chordata; Actinopteri; Salmoniformes; Salmonidae. The record is from RNAcentral.